Molecule: ribosomal RNA, 696 nt
Filed under: uncultured bacterium
Lineage: Bacteria
Description: bacterial SSU rRNA
Rfam family: Bacterial small subunit ribosomal RNA
Source: RNAcentral
AACGCUAGCUACAGGCUUAACACAUGCAAGUCGAGGGGAAACGAUAUUGGAAGCUUGCUUCCGAUAGGCGUCGACCGGCGCACGGGUGAGUAACGCGUAUCCAACCUGCCCACCACUUGGGGAUAACCUUGCGAAAGUAAGACUAAUACCCAAUGAUAUCUCUAGAAGACAUCUGAAAGAGAUUAAAGAUUUAUCGGUGAUGGAUGGGGAUGCGUCUGAUUAGCUUGUUGGCGGGGUAACGGCCCACCAAGGCAACGAUCAGUAGGGGUUCUGAGAGGAAGGUCCCCCACAUUGGAACUGAGACACGGUCCAAACUCCUACGGGAGGCAGCAGUGAGGAAUAUUGGUCAAUGGACGAGAGUCUGAACCAGCCAAGUAGCGUGCAGGAAGACGGCCCUAUGGGUUGUAAACUGCUUUUAUAAGGGAAUAAAGUGAGAGUCGUGACUCUUUUUGCAUGUACCUUAUGAAUAAGGACCGGCUAAUUCCGUGCCAGCAGCCGCGGUAAUACGGAAGGUCCGGGCGUUAUCCGGAUUUAUUGGGUUUAAAGGGAGCGUAGGCCGGAGAUUAAGCGUGUUGUGAAAUGUAGAUGCUCAACAUCUGAACUGCAGCGCGAACUGGUUUCCUUGAGUACGCACAAAGUGGGCGGAAUUCGUGGUGUAGCGGUGAAAUGCUUAGAUAUCACGAAGAACUCCGAUUG